Molecule: unclassified non-coding RNA, 279 nt
Filed under: Hevea brasiliensis (rubber tree)
Lineage: Eukaryota; Viridiplantae; Streptophyta; Magnoliopsida; Malpighiales; Euphorbiaceae
Source: RNAcentral
CAUCUUCAGUAGAUGCCACCGUCCUAGUUGAGUUUUGGACAAGAGAGAAUUAGGAUGCUUUCUUUUUGUUUCCAGGGAAAAAAGAGGGUUUCUUUUUAAGUAAUUUGGGGGAUCCAAGGCUUGGGAAAAAAACAUUCGACAGCACCACCACUACCUUUGUAUUCUCGUUUCAUUAAUGGAUGCUGACAUUCUAAAGACCGCAGGCUGCUUUCUUUAAUUUCAGUAUCACUAUAUAUUAUAUACACCGAUCUCCCGGCAGGCAAGUGGCAUGCGAUAGAG